Molecule: ribosomal RNA, 497 nt
Filed under: uncultured bacterium
Lineage: Bacteria
Description: partial 16S ribosomal RNA
Rfam family: Bacterial small subunit ribosomal RNA
Source: RNAcentral
GACGAACGCUGGCGGCGUGCCUAAUACAUGCAAGUUGAGCGCUGAAGGUUGGUACUUGUACCAACUGGAUGAGCAGCGAACGGGUGAGUAACGCGUGGGGAAUCUGCCUUUGAGCGGGGGACAACAUUUGGAAACGAAUGCUAAUACCGCAUAAAAACUUUAAACACAAGUUUUAAGUUUGAAAGAUGCAAUUGCAUCACUCAAAGAUGAUCCCGCGUUGUAUUAGCUAGUUGGUGAGGUAAAGGCUCACCAAGGCGAUGAUACAUAGCCGACCUGAGAGGGUGAUCGGCCACAUUGGGACUGAGACACGGCCCAAACUCCUACGGGAGGCAGCAGUAGGGAAUCUUCGGCAAUGGACGAAAGUCUGACCGAGCAACGCCGCGUGAGUGAAGAAGGGUUUCGGAUCGUAAAACUCUGUUGGUAGAGAAGAACGUUGGUGAGAGUGGAAAGCUCAUCAAGUGACGGUAACUACCCAGAAGGGGACGGCUAACUACGUG